AUUGAACGCUGGCGGCAUGCCUUACACAUGCAAGUCGAACGGCAGCACGGGAGCAAUCCUGGUGGCGAGUGGCGAACGGGUGAGUAAUGUAUCGGAACGUGCCCAGUCGUGGGGGAUAACGUAGCGAAAGCUACGCUAAUACCGCAUACGAUCUAUGGAUGAAAGCGGGGGAUCGCAAGACCUCGUGCGAUUGGAGCGGCCGAUAUCAGAUUAGGUAGUUGGUGGGGUAAAGGCUCACCAAGCCGACGAUCUGUAGCUGGUCUGAGAGGCCGACCCGCCACACUGGGACUGAGCCACGGCCCAGACUCCUACGGGAGGCAGCAGUGGGGAAUUUUGGACAAUGGGCGCGAGCCUGAUCCAGCAAUGCCGCGUGCAGGAUGAAGGCCUCCGGGUUGUAAACUGCUUUUGUACGGAACGAAACGGCGAGCUCUAAUACAGUUUGCUAAUGACGGCACCGUAAGAAUAAGCACCGGCUAACUACGUGCCAGCCGCCGCAGUAA
This 500-nucleotide ribosomal RNA is filed under the name uncultured bacterium. Its description in RNAcentral is "partial 16S ribosomal RNA". It matches the Rfam family "Bacterial small subunit ribosomal RNA", at positions 30 to 523 of the family's 1533-position model. The record is from RNAcentral.